GGGUUAGUAGGUUGGUCAUGCCUCUGGUAUGUACUGGUCUCACUGAUUCCUCCUUCCUGAUGAACCUUAAUGCCAUUAAUUUAGUGUUUUGGGGAAUUUGGACUGUUACUUUGAAAAAAUUAGAGUGGUUAUAGCAAGCUAACGCUUGAAUACAUUAGCAUGGAAUAAUGAAAUAGGACGUUCGAUCCUAUUUUGUUGGUUUCUAGGAUUGACUUA
This 216-nucleotide ribosomal RNA is filed under the name Campeiostachys nutans. Its description in RNAcentral is "Elymus nutans partial small subunit ribosomal RNA". The stretch from base 40 to 216 matches the Rfam family "Eukaryotic small subunit ribosomal RNA", at positions 686 to 864 of the family's 1831-position model. The record is from RNAcentral. Lineage: Eukaryota; Viridiplantae; Streptophyta; Magnoliopsida; Poales; Poaceae.